GGAGUUUAUUUCAAGUUUUUAAGUAAGCAGGCACCCACCUGGAGAAUGAGGGAAUUUAUUUUAAGUUCAAGUCAGUCAUCAGGCGCCCACCUGGAGAAUGAGGGAAUUCAUUUCAAGUUUUAAGUCAGUAUCAGGCGACCACCUAGAGAAUGAGGGAAUUUGUUUCAAUUUUCAAGUCAGUAGCAGGUGCCCACCUGGAGAACGAGGGAAUUCAUUUCAAAUUUCAAGUCAGUUGCAGGCAUCCACCUGGAGAACGAGGGAAGUCAUUUAAGAAUUCAAUUCAAGUUAGAAGUAGCAGAAGCUCGCCUCAAGAAUGCGAGCAGACAGUCUGAGAUGACCAAAGGAAGAAGUCUCAAUCCAGAAUAAAAGGAAAAAAAAAAGAAAAAGAGAAAUGAAUCCAAAAUGCAUAAGCCGAUGAAAGACAUGAACUGCUCAAGACAUGGCUAAAUACACGAGCACUGCAUGUCCGGUCUUGAUCCGAAGAAGCUGUAGAAGAAUGAAUCAUCACCUGCAGUUAGCAAGCAGCAAGGUUCAAAUCAAAAGUCUGCAUGAAGAACCAUUCAAGCCUCAAGAUCAAGCUUCAGAAGACUUAUAGAUAGGAAUCUUGUAACUCAUAGCUGACAGGCUUAGUUAGUCUUUUUUUAUUUUUUGAUUUUGAUGUAAUAAUAGGCCGCGGACCGGAACCUCGACGGAACGGCACCUCACUCGACUCUGUCAUCCUCUCCACACACUCCAGCACUGCAUUCACCUCUGAACUACACGUGACCUGAUUCCUUUAAAGCCAAGAAUAUGUAGGUAGCUCAGAUACCAGGGAUCGGUCACAAUCUUUUAUCCGUCUUUGUUUCGUUUUAAAUAAGCGUCGGGUCAUAAAUCAAUUACGUUGUUUAUUGUUCUUUGCUCCGGAACCUCUUCGUGUUUCCAAGCAAAGAGGGGCAGCUGUAAGCACGUAAUUUUUGACCCGACACGUUUUUG
This 972-nucleotide long non-coding RNA is filed under the name Nicotiana tabacum (common tobacco). RNAcentral describes it as "long non-coding RNA (NTAB_LNC012170)". The record is from RNAcentral. Lineage: Eukaryota; Viridiplantae; Streptophyta; Magnoliopsida; Solanales; Solanaceae.